UUAGAGUGCUCAAAGCAGGCUCUUAAUGCCUGUAUACAUAUUCAUGGAAUUGGAGAAUACGUCCCUGGCUCGAUUUGGUUGGUUUUGAGAGUCGAAGGGAAAUGAUUAAUAGGGACUGACGGAGGCAUUCGUAUUGCGACGCGAGGGGUGAAAUCCUGUGACCGUCGCACGACGAACUACUGCGAAAGCAUUUGCCGAGAAUGUUUUCAUUAGUCAAGAACGAAAGUUAGAGGUUCGAAGGCGAUCAGAUACCGCCCUAGUUCUAACCGUAAACGAUGUCGACCAGCAAUCCGCAACGGUCACUACACGGACUGUGCGGGCAGCUUCCCCGGGGAAACCAGAGUGUCUGGACUCCGGGGGAAGUAUGGUUGCAAAGCUGAAACUUAAAGGAAUUGACGGAAGGGCACCACCAGGAGUGGAGCUUGCGGCUUAAUUUGACUCAACACGGGACAACUCACCAGGCCCGGACACCGUAAGGAUUGACAGACUGAUAGCUCUCUCUUGAUUCAGUGGGUGGUGGUGCAUGGCCGUUCUUAGUUGGUGGAGUGAUUUGUCUGGUUUAUUCCGAUAACGAACGAGACUCUGGCCUAUUAAACUUGACACUGUCAGUCUCUUGCGACUGCGGUGCGCUUCUUAGAGGGAUCAUCGGCGUCCCAGCCGAAGGAAAGGGAGCAAUAACAGGUCUGUGAUGCCCUUAGAUGUUCUGGGCUGCACGCGUGUUACACUGAAGUGGUCAGCGCGCCGUUCAACACCCCUCUCCGUGAGGAGCUUGGGCAAACGUUUGAACCCUUUUCGUGAUGGGAAUUGGGGGUUGCAAUUGUCCCCCAUGAACGAGGAAUUCCAAGUAAGCGCAGGUCACUAGCCUGCGUUGAUUAAGUCCCUGCCCUUUGUACACACCGCCCGUCGCUACUACCGAUGGAUGAUUUGGUGAGGUCGCCUAGACUGGCUGCUGGCUUCGGCCGUGCGGCCGGGAAGACGCCCAAACUUGGUCGUCUAGAGGAAGUAAAAGUCGUAACAAGGUUUCC
Molecule: ribosomal RNA, 1025 nt
Filed under: Striatobalanus amaryllis
Lineage: Eukaryota; Metazoa; Arthropoda; Thecostraca; Balanomorpha; Balanidae
Description: SSU rRNA
Rfam family: Eukaryotic small subunit ribosomal RNA
Source: RNAcentral